This 400-nucleotide ribosomal RNA is filed under the name phytoplankton environmental sample. RNAcentral describes it as "partial small subunit ribosomal RNA". It matches the Rfam family "Eukaryotic small subunit ribosomal RNA", at positions 587 to 989 of the family's 1831-position model. The record is from RNAcentral.
AGCUCCAAUAGCGUAUACUAAAGUUGUUGCAGUUAAAAAGCUCGUAGUUGAAUUUCUGGGUGUAGCAGUCGGUCCGCUCUUAAUAGAGUGUGCACUAGAUUGCCGCGCCCUUCCUCGAGGAAAACACAUCUAACAUUCAGUUGUCGGGUGUGGGAUCCUCGUCAUUUACUGUGAGCAAAAUAGAGUGUUCAAAGCAGGCUUAGGCCGUUGAAUACAUUAGCAUGGAAUAAUAAGAUAAGACCUUGGUCUAUUUUGUUGGUUUGCAUUCCGAGGUAAUGAUUAAUAGGGAUAGUUGGGGGUAUUCGUAUUCAAUUGUCAGAGGUGAAAUUCUUGGAUUUAUGGAAGACGAACUACUGCGAAAGCAUUUACCAAGGAUGUUUUCAUUAAUCAAGAACGAAAG